RNAcentral lists this ribosomal RNA (424 nucleotides) under uncultured eukaryote. RNAcentral describes it as "SSU rRNA". It matches the Rfam family "Eukaryotic small subunit ribosomal RNA", at positions 16 to 434 of the family's 1831-position model. The record is from RNAcentral.
GCCAGUAGUCAUAUGCUUGUCUCAAAGAUUAAGCCAUGCAAGUCUGAGUAUAAUUGGUUUACGGUGAAACUGCGAAUGGCUCAUUAAAUCAGUUAUAGUUUAUUUGAUGCUAUAGGCCGCAAGGCCACUACAUGGAUAUCUGUAGUAACAUAGAGCUAAUACAUGCAAUAUAGUCUGACUUUUUGGAAGGACUAGCACUUAUUAGAUAUUAAACCAAUCCCAGCAAUGGGUUUUAUGGUGAUUCAUAGUAACUGAACAAAUCACAUGGUCUUGUGCCGGUGAUGUUUCAUUCAAAUUUCUGCCCUAUCAACUAGAUGGUAGUAUAUAGGACUACCAUGGUUGUAACGGGUAACGGAGGAUUAGGGUUUGAUUCCGGAGAAGGAGCAUGAGAAACGGCUACUAUUUCUAAGGAAAGCAGCAGGCG